RNAcentral lists this ribosomal RNA (252 nucleotides) under uncultured bacterium. RNAcentral's name for it is "partial 16S ribosomal RNA". It matches the Rfam family "Bacterial small subunit ribosomal RNA", at positions 524 to 776 of the family's 1533-position model. The record is from RNAcentral.
UACGUAGGUCCCGAGCGUUGUCCGGAUUUAUUGGGCGUAAAGCGAGCGCAGGUGGUUUAUUAAGUCUGGUGUAAAAGGCAGUGGCUCAACCAUUGUAUGCAUUGGAAACUGGUAGACUUGAGUGCAGGAGAGGAGAGUGGAAUUCCAUGUGUAGCGGUGAAAUGCGUAGAUAUAUGGAGGAACACCGGUGGCGAAAGCGGCUCUCUGGCCUGUAACUGAUACUGAGGUUCGAAAGCGUGGGGAGCAAACAGG